RNAcentral lists this ribosomal RNA (229 nucleotides) under uncultured bacterium. RNAcentral describes it as "partial 16S ribosomal RNA". It matches the Rfam family "Bacterial small subunit ribosomal RNA", at positions 15 to 244 of the family's 1533-position model. The record is from RNAcentral.
GAUCCUGGCUCAGAGUGAACGCUGGCGGCGUGCCUAAUACAUGCAAGUCGAACGGACAAGUAAGAGCUUGCUCUUAUGAGUUAGUGGCGCACGGGUGAGUAAUGUAUAGCUAAUCUGCCCUACACUAGAGGACAACAGUUGGAAACGACUGCUAAUACUCUAUACUCCUAUCUGACAUAAGUUAGAUAGGGAAAGUUUUUCGGUGUAGGAUGAGGCUAUAUUGUAUCAG